Bos taurus (domestic cattle) is the source of this 1852-nucleotide long non-coding RNA. NCBI's taxonomy places the organism in Eukaryota, Metazoa, Chordata, Mammalia, Artiodactyla, Bovidae. The record is from Ensembl.
CCCCUGCCCUGGCCAAUCGUCUCUCCAGGCCGUGCCUCUCCGUCUCUGGACUUGCUUUGCCUCUACCGCCGACUGGGUCCCGCUGGGCGCGGUGCAGCUCCCAGCCCCGGGCCGCGCAGCAGGGCCGAGCCGCCUCGCGCACAAGGCCGCCCGGGGUGGGCACAGGCGGCCAGCCGCUCCGGCCCCGCCCGCACCUCCCGGCCCUCUGCGUGGACCGAGCGGGGGAGGGUUUAUUUUCCGGUGGAAAUGAGUGAUGGCACUGCCUGAGGACGGGCUCCGGGUGGGGCUCACACCUGACCUGAAGGCACAACGUCCCUCUCUCUCAGGAGAGGGGGCUCCUCACCCAGGAGCCUGGGCGCUCCCACCCGGCCCGCUGGGUCCUGUGAUUAACGGCCCAAACCACAGGCAUGUCUCCGCAUGUUGUUUUUUUGGACGUUUUUUUCCUGCUGUAAACUAGAAAAGGACCUCGAGCCUGGGAGAUAAGAGAAUUCAUUUUGUAAGCAGCAGGCCUCUGGGAGCAGAUGUGACGGCGUGAUGGGAGAAUCGACAGGUCAGAACACUUGCUUGAGAAGCCAACCAGGCCGUGUCUCCGAGCAGGUGUGGGUUUGCUCACGUUCAGGAGCCAAACGUGCCCCGUUACUGCAUCGCUUCUUCUAAAUCAAAUUAAACGUGACCUUGAGCCUCCGCUUGACAAGGGCGGUGAGAAGUUCACUACUAGCCCGGGUGUGGGCCGCCCCUCUGCCUCCCCGAGGGGAUGAGAGUCUGUCCGGAAAACGUGGGGAGAGGCCUCAGCUUUUCCGUCCGCCAGUGACGGUGCCCUGGCCGCUCCCUGCCUGCUGUCGCAGCCGCGGGGUCCUCAGCGGGGCCGCCGCGUCCUUCCUGACCAGAGCUGCGCGCAGAGGUCUUCCGCCUGACGGCCAGCGCCUUCUGUCCUAUCGGAACAUCCGCCUGGGUGCCGCGUGGGGAGGGGCUGGGAGAGGAAUGCACCCCGCUGGGCUCCGGAAAUCUAACUCGGGGGUCACGGCCACUCCUCCUUUCCUCAGCGCCCUCAGUCUCUGGGCGGAGGAGUAAUGGUCCCCGGGCCUUCCCACGUGCGCUCGUGGUAAAGAACCCGCCUGCCAGUGCAGGUUGACUGAGACUCGGGUUCGAUUCCUGAGGAGAGCAGGGCAACCCACUCCAGCAUUCUUGCCUGGAGGAUCCCAUGGACAGAGGGGCCUGGCGGGCCACAGUCCGUGGGGCAUAAAGCGGCGGACACGACUAAAGUGACUUAGCAUGCACACGAGAUGCCCUCAUUCUACUUUCGACCUGGAAGUCCUCCAUGUGCGUCUAAUUCUGACUCCCAUACCUGGGUGGAGGACAGUCUCUCUUGCUCUCCAGGGUGACUCCUCGAGAUAUCUGGGCCUGACCCUGUUCCAUUCCUCAGCACCAAGUUCAGAAACAUCCCUGGACCAGGCUGUGCUAACCUGGAUCUGAGGAUGCCAUACAGCACCCUGUGUAACUCUGAGGUGGGUCGGGGCCCCCGGCACAGGGAAGCCAGUCUCCAGACAUACCCAGGUUAGGCUACCUGCGCCCUGCCAUAGCCAUAUGUAAAUGGUUAGGUUUCCAAAAGGUCUCACGUGACCCUCAUUCUCUCAGACCAAAGGUGCACACCUUUCCCCCAUGAGGACCUAAUGAUCUAGAGCUGGUCUGGCCAUUUAAAUCUAACUGAUGUAAAAUCACGUUGAGGAUUCAUCUGCUGCGCGGCACUAGCUGCAUUUCAAGUGCUCAGAAGUCGUGUGUGGGUAGUGGUGCCGUAUGCUCGCCGGCACCAGCCAUCAUCUCCACCUUCUGCGGCACAGCGUUGAUCUUGAAG